UAACUGUCUUUAAACUAUCAGCAAAGCUAGAAAACCUCAACUUUCAAAAUCAUUGACUUUCUAUCGAACAGAUAACGUCAGAAAAAAAUAACUUAUUUUUUUCUCAACUUCAGUUCAACUAAAAGUUAAUUUCAAACUUGUCAUAUAUGACUCGAAAUCUAUUAUCGACUCAGGUUCGGGUUUACGACUCGCCGACAGCUUCGCUGUGCGACCAAAUUGGAAAAUUAAAUUGUGAAGGAAAAAUGAAUGUCUGUGGUGGGUAGCGGAGGGCUCGGGCCGUCAGGCGUGUGAUCGUGGUUGGUUGUAAUCUGAAGAACAUUGUAUUCCCUUUCAUUUUCGAUAGUGAAGUUCUCUCCUCCCUCGUUCGUGGUUUUUUCCCUGCAAAGAGUUUUCCACGUAAAUCUGUGUGUGUUAUAUUUAUUUUCUGUUUGUGGUUUGAGUGUUUCGUAUUCGCCAUUUUUCGUUUUUCGUGCAUUUGUCGUAACAAAACUGAAAAAUCAACAUACCGAAUGUAUUUGAAACUCACGAU
This 529-nucleotide long non-coding RNA is filed under the name Ananas comosus (pineapple). Its description in RNAcentral is "long non-coding RNA (ACOM_LNC023834)". Lineage: Eukaryota; Viridiplantae; Streptophyta; Magnoliopsida; Poales; Bromeliaceae. The record is from RNAcentral.